AAUGUCGUAACAAGGUUUCCGUAGGUGAACCUGCGGAAGGAUCAUUAUCGUGGGGAUUCGUCCCUAUCGAGAUAGCACCCUUUGUCUAUGAGUACCUUCUGUUUUCCCUCGGCGGGCUUUGCCCUGCCCAAUCGGAAGACCACAUAAAUCCCUUUUGGAACUAGCAGUAACUUCUGAUAACAAACAAAGUAUUAAAAG
This 198-nucleotide unclassified non-coding RNA is filed under the name plant metagenome. RNAcentral describes it as "partial contains small subunit ribosomal RNA and internal transcribed spacer 1". The stretch from base 1 to 47 matches the Rfam family "Eukaryotic small subunit ribosomal RNA", at positions 1785 to 1831 of the family's 1831-position model. The record is from RNAcentral.